RNAcentral lists this long non-coding RNA (447 nucleotides) under Sus scrofa (pig). RNAcentral's name for it is "lncRNA (ENSSSCG00070008781.1)". The record is from RNAcentral. Lineage: Eukaryota; Metazoa; Chordata; Mammalia; Artiodactyla; Suidae.
GUAAAGUAUUUAGAGCUUCUAAUUCCACUUUUCCUUAAGGGAGGAUGAACUCUGUAGCAAUUACCUUGUGACUUCUGAGGAUCACCUUUGGAAGGCUUGGUGUUACGAACAUUGGGAUAAGAAUUUUACAAAACAUCAAAAAGAUUAUAAUAUUAAGAGCAGAAGCCUUGAUUUAUUUAUCAAAGAAACCCCAGUAAUUAACACAGUCUGACUUUAAAGGACCUCUUUCAAAUCAUCAGCACCUUCAGAAUUUUUCUUCUGAGCCAUAGAGAACAAAAAUUGUGAGUUAGCACUUUCUCUAACCUUGUUAAAGAAGAGCACAGACAGCAGUGAUCCAUACACUCAGGUAAGAUUCCAAUCUCAGUGUGUAGGGAACACACUAAACACCAGUUGGUUUCCUGGACUGGCUAAUGUUCUCCACUUUCUCUUCUGUCCUGGUUUUCCCGG